This is a long non-coding RNA of Triticum aestivum (bread wheat), 1163 nucleotides long. RefSeq lists it as uncharacterized. The record is from RefSeq and is a predicted model, not a curated record. The transcript is spliced from 2 exons. NCBI's taxonomy places the organism in Eukaryota, Viridiplantae, Streptophyta, Magnoliopsida, Poales, Poaceae.
UCCAACCCUGGUGGGUGGAUUGACGAAGAAAUAUCUCCCUCGUAGCCCCUCUCUCUCCCUCGUCUCUUCUCACCCCCCCUCCUCCCCUCCGUGCCGCUGCCUCGGAUUCCCCCCUCCCUCUCGGCCGCAAGCGCCGGCGCCGACAUGGUAUGGAAGCGGCUGCCACGUAUUCUCACCCCACGUUCCCGAUCUGGAGAGGGAGGGAAAUACACGGCCACAUGUGCGUGCGCCGUCGGGAUGUUUCUUGAGGGUAGCAUCAACCCUUGUAGGCACUGCUAGCAGCAGCAGCAGGCCUCAGUGCCGACGAAGGGAUGGCACAUGGCGCCGUCGUCGUCGAUCUAGGUAGAAGGGCAAGCCAAGAUGAACCUCUCGCAUUAUCUAGGAAGUUGUCAUGGAAGACGCCGAAGAAAAGUCCAUGAAUUUUGAUAGAGAUGGAGAACUGGACGUGCUUUGUUUCCUUGCCUUGACCGCAUCUAAUUUUGGGGAAAAGAGAGAGGAAUUUGAGAUAGGUGGACAACCUGAAGAUCUUUGAACGUUCAGGAGCAGCCAUAUCCUCAGUGCUAUGCCAGCCUCCUCGCCACUACUGUCAUGUGGAUGUGACUAUUGUUUGGCUGCUGGUGAGAUGGGCAUAGUUUCCUCCGGGUUCAUGCAUCGUGAUGGUAUUCGAACAACACCUUAAUUGGCCCAAGAAAAUUUAGGACUGUCGGAUGAUAAACCAAAUUUUUUGUUUCAUGUACUAUCAUCUCACGUUCUAAUUUUGGUGUUCUGGUAGGAAGGGAUCGGCUUUGGCGGUGUCCGGUGCUGGCAUGUCAUGUGAUUAGAGCAUAGGAAGCUAACAUGAUGUUUGGAACUCGGUGGUCAUGCUCAUUGACUAGAUGCUGCGCCUCAUGUCACCCCGGGCGUCGAAUUGCUUGAUAGCAGAGCUCACGGAGUAAAAAUAUGUCUGCAAGUACUUGUUUGCCAUAUGCCUGCCCACUCCUCCGUCUCAUCAAGCUUUCUUUUAUUUCUCUAAAUUUGUUGUGUGCAUGUAUGUGAAAAAAUAACAGGAAUAGGCCAUGCUAAGGCUUUGGCAAAGAACAUUCUUUCCCUUGCUUAUGAAAAUUUUGGUCCUUUAAUAUUGAUUCCAUAAUUUGUGAUUAAUAAAUGUUGUUGGUAUUUGAUCU